This is a non-coding RNA of Camelina sativa (false flax), 406 nucleotides long. The record is from RefSeq and is a predicted model, not a curated record. Lineage: Eukaryota; Viridiplantae; Streptophyta; Magnoliopsida; Brassicales; Brassicaceae.
UUGGAUAUGAUACCACGGCAUGAUAAGCCGGAAAAAGCUGAGAUAUAUCUUUCAUCGGAGAUAUCUCAUAUUUAUCUUAAUCUACUGCCUACUGCCAUCGUCAAAGUUUUAUUUAUAAGCAGAUUAAUACUAAUAUGAUCAUUUGCACAUGACACCCUCCCCAUCAACAGUUGUUUUUUGUUGUUGUUGCAAACCACAUGAAGAUUAAAGGGAAUAACAUGAAGCCAAUUUCAAUACCCUUUUGAUUUGCCUUAUCAUCGAGCUUCAUCACCAAAAAAAAAAAAAAACUGAUGACUUGAGAGUACAAUAUUGCAGCUAUGGUGAGCCAAAGCAACUAGUAAUGAAAUGAUGAUGAACGAACAGCUUACAUGAUUCAUUCCUCUUGUAUCCUAUAGUCUAUAUAAAA